GUAGGGAAUAUUGGGCAAUGGAUGCAAGUCUGACCCAGCCAUCCCGCGUGCCGGAAGAAGGCCCUCAGGGUUGUAAACGGCUUUUGACGGUGAAGAAUCGACAGGAUGCGUCCUGUUUUGACGGUAGCCGUUGAAUAAGCACCGGCUAACUCCGUGCCAGCAGCCGCGGUAACACGGAGGGUGCGAGCGUUGUCCGGAGUUAUUGGGUUUAAAGGGUGCGGAGGCUGGACGGUCAGUCAGCGGUGAAAAGCUGUCGCUGAACGAUGGUCUUGCCGCAGAUACUUCCUUUCUUGGAUGAGGAGGAGGCCACUCGAACGGAUGGUGUAGCGGUGAAAUGCAUAGAUAUCAUCCAGAACACCGAUUGCGAAGGCAGGUGGCUGUACCUUAAUCGACGCUGAUGCACGAAAGCAUGGGGAGCAAACAGGAUUAGAUACCCUUGUAGUCC
This 445-nucleotide ribosomal RNA is filed under the name uncultured bacterium. Its description in RNAcentral is "partial 16S ribosomal RNA". It matches the Rfam family "Bacterial small subunit ribosomal RNA", at positions 354 to 796 of the family's 1533-position model. The record is from RNAcentral.